GCCUAACACAUGCAAGUCGAGCGAGGUCCAUCCGGUGGCAACACCGGUGAAGACCUAGCGGCGAACGGGUGAGUAACACGUGAGGAACCUGCCCCGAAGUCUGGGAUAACCCGAGGAAACUCGAGCUAAUACCGGAUGCCCUCCACUGAUCGCAUGGUCGGUGGCGGAAAGAUUUAUCGCUUCGGGAGGGCCUCGCGGCCUAUCAGCUAGUUGGUGGGGUAACGGCCCACCAAGGCAUCGACGGGUAGCUGGUCUGAGAGGACGAUCAGCCACACUGGGACUGAGACACGGCCCAGACUCCUACGGGAGGCAGCAGUGGGGAAUCUUGCGCAAUGGGCGAAAGCCUGACGCAGCAACGCCGCGUGCGGGAUGAAGGCCUUCGGGUUGUAAACCGCUUUCAGCAGGGACGAAAUUGACGGUACCUGCAGAAGAAGCCCCGGCCAACUACGUGCCAGCAGCCGCGGUAACACGUAGGGGGCGAGCGUUGUCCGGAUUUAUUGGGCGUAAAGAGCUCGUAGGCGGCUCACUAAGUCGGGUGUGAAACCUCCAGGCUCAACCUGGAGACGCCACCCGAUACUGGUGUGGCUAGAGUCCGGUAGGGGAGCAUGGAAUUCCUGGUGUAGCGGUGAAAUGCGCAGAUAUCAGGAGGAACACCAGUGGCGAAGGCGGUGCUCUGGGCCGGAACUGACGCUGAGGAGCGAAAGCAUGGGGAGCAAACAGGAUUAGAUACCC
RNAcentral lists this ribosomal RNA (732 nucleotides) under uncultured bacterium. RNAcentral describes it as "bacterial SSU rRNA". It matches the Rfam family "Bacterial small subunit ribosomal RNA", at positions 46 to 787 of the family's 1533-position model. The record is from RNAcentral.